AUGCUUACCUGGCAGGGGCAAUACCAUGGUUAAGAAGGUGGUUCGCCCAAGGCAAUGCUCAACCAUUGCACUCGGAUUGUGCUGACCCUCGAGGAUUCGUCAAAAUGUGGGAAUUUCGACUGCAUGAUGUUUAAAAGCAGGUGACUGGAUUCACGCUCUUCCUUG
Molecule: small nuclear RNA, 165 nt
Organism: Clarias gariepinus (North African catfish)
Lineage: Eukaryota; Metazoa; Chordata; Actinopteri; Siluriformes; Clariidae
Product: U1 spliceosomal RNA
Exons: 1
Source: RefSeq, a predicted model, not a curated record